AGUGAACGCUGGCGGUAGGCCUAACACAUGCAAGUCGAACGGCAGCACAGUAAGAGCUUGCUCUUACGGGUGGCGAGUGGCGGACGGGUGAGGAAUACAUCGGAAUCUACUUUUUCGUGGGGGAUAACGUAGGGAAACUUACGCUAAUACCGCAUACGACCUACGGGUGAAAGCAGGGGAUCUUCGGACCUUGCGCGAUUGAAUGAGCCGAUGUCGGAUUAGCUAGUUGGCGGGGUAAAGGCCCACCAAGGCGACGAUCCGUAGCUGGUCUGAGAGGAUGAUCAGCCACACUGGAACUGAGCCGCGGUCCAGACUCCUACGGGAGGCAGCAGUGGGGAAUAUUGGACAAUGGGCGCAAGCAUGAUCCAGCCAUACCGCGUGGGUGAAGAAGGCCUUCGGGUUGUAAAGCCCUUUUGUUGGGAAAGAAAAGCAGCAGGUUAAUACCCCGCUGUUCUGACGGUACCCAAAGAAUAAGCACCGGCUAACUUCGUG
This 492-nucleotide ribosomal RNA is filed under the name uncultured bacterium. Its description in RNAcentral is "partial 16S ribosomal RNA". It matches the Rfam family "Bacterial small subunit ribosomal RNA", at positions 29 to 507 of the family's 1533-position model. The record is from RNAcentral.